AUACGGAGGAUCCGAGCGUUAUCCGGAUUUAUUGGGUUUAAAGGGUGCGCAGGCGGGAGAUUAAGUCGGCGGUGAAAUUUUUCAGCUCAACCGGAAAAGGGCCUUCGAAACUGGGUUUCUUGAGUGUAGAUGAAGUAGGCGGAAUUUUUGGUGGAGCGGGGAAAUGCAUAGAUAUCACGAGGAACUCCGAUUGCGCAGGCAGCUUACUAAACUACUACUGACGCUCAGGCACGAAGGCGUGGGGAUCAAACAGGAUUAGAUACCCUGGUAGUCCACGCAGUAAACGAUGAUUACUAGCUGUUUGCGAUACAAUGUAAGCGGCUGAGCGAAAGCGUUAAGUAAUCCACCUGGGGAGUACGUUCGCAAGAAUGAAACUCAAAGGAAUUGACGGGG
This 393-nucleotide ribosomal RNA is filed under the name uncultured bacterium. Its description in RNAcentral is "partial 16S ribosomal RNA". It matches the Rfam family "Bacterial small subunit ribosomal RNA", at positions 523 to 918 of the family's 1533-position model. The record is from RNAcentral.